This is a long non-coding RNA of Diospyros lotus (date-plum), 399 nucleotides long. RefSeq lists it as uncharacterized. The transcript is spliced from 3 exons. Lineage: Eukaryota; Viridiplantae; Streptophyta; Magnoliopsida; Ericales; Ebenaceae. The record is from RefSeq and is a predicted model, not a curated record.
GAAAAGUCCCGGAAGCUCGAGAAUGGGAUUUCAGGCAUGAGACGGCAGCUUGGGAAGCAACGUCGGCGUGGGCGUUUGGCCGAUUUUUCCUUCCAAAUUGAAUGAGGUCCGACCGGGGAGACGGUGAUCCUAGAAGAGCUCGGUGUUCGGGCUGGAGUUCGUGCUGAGGCAGAGUUGAGGCUUCGAGCCAGAUAAUGCAAGUCCGGAUGCAAGCAGGGAUGGCGCCGGGAGGCCGUUGUGGCAACUAGCUGAGUUGCCCGAGUUAUGUAUUUUUAAUAUUGCUUGUAUGUAGCCAGGGGGCGUGGUGUAUGUAUACCCUUGUGAGUAAAUGUCUGUGUUAUUGAGCUUAAAUGUAUUUAAUUGAUGUAAUCAUCAUAGUGUGAUAGAUGAUUGUGAGAU